RNAcentral lists this long non-coding RNA (9200 nucleotides) under Triticum aestivum (bread wheat). RNAcentral's name for it is "long non-coding RNA (TAES_LNC013539)". The record is from RNAcentral. Lineage: Eukaryota; Viridiplantae; Streptophyta; Magnoliopsida; Poales; Poaceae.
AAAGAACAAGGGACUUGCGCACUUAGUCAGACAGAGAAGAGGAGAUAUUUGCUUGUUGGCGUGAGAAGGGACUGGUCUGGCGCGACGAACCAGACGCAUGUCUGAUCCCACGCGCGAGGCCACGAGAAAGCAGAGGAGUAGAGGGGGUCGAAGGGAAGAAAACCACCAGGGCCGACUGCCUUUUCCUCUCCUCAUCCUCGCUGCCUUCCACGGGCUCACCUACCACCAGAUCUACAGCAACGCGGAAAACAGGGGAUCAAGGGGAACGAGAGUGAGAACCAUAUCGAGGGUUUCGGGAGGCUUGCGACGUGGCUGAUCCAGCGCGAGGCCUCUCCUUCCUAACCUUUAACUUCUCCUGCUUCUCUUCAACACCGACGCUCGUGCUUCUCUGCUCCAACUUCGACGACCGCCGCUGCGGCAUCUCCUCGACACCAACAGCGGGACGCCGGACUCCUGGUGGUGCUCUGCUUCGGGUGGUCGGCUAACCUCCCACGAAGACCGCCAUGAUUCCUUCCCAAGGCCGGGUCCUCCGCUGCUGAUCUUCACCAAGACUUCUUCACCACGCUACAGCUCUACCCCAAGGAUCCUCUACUGCUACUCUUCUUCGCCUGCAACAUCUACAGCUUUGAAUCGAAGAUCAUCAAGACCCAUAGGCUCUGAACCUCACUCUUCUCUUGUUCCUGUUCUCUGAACAUAUGCACUGUUGGGUCUGAAAUUUACUUUGUUACCUGUGCACCUUUGCUGAACCCUCAUGUAUCCUUGCUCAAUUGUUGUGACCCUUUGCUGGAUAUGAAGUUAGUAGUUAUUCUCCUGUAAGCUGCUGUCACUUUAAUAGGUUGCAUGAGUUGUGUGUGAUGUCUGAACCAUCUUCCAUGUGCUAGUGUUACUUGUCUGUUUGAUUACAAGAAAACCACCAAAAAAGAGACAGUCCUAUUUCUGAACCUUAACCUUUGUUGCAUAUUAUUUUGUUUUACCUUGUUCGAGUGGCUGCUUGUUGUCACUACGGUUUGAUUCAUCUGUUCAGUUGUUCUGAAUGUUUCGAAUGUGUGCUUCGAAGUUCUAGAUCCGUGUGGAGAACACGACAUCCAUAGUUUGGGCGCAAAAACCCUGCUAUAUUACAUCUGAUCACUUUGGCGCCGUUGCCGGCGAUCUAAAUUUCAUGAUCACAUUUGUAGAAGUAGAUCAGGAUUUAUUUUAGGUCGAUUCCGUAGUAUUGCUGGCAACUAACCAUUUCCUAACAUUGUCUGCAAUUUUGAGAAAACUAGCAUGUGUCAAUUUCAGGAACUUUACAGGAAAUUGUCUUAUGUUACAAUCUGAAGAAAGUUCACUAGAGCCAUUUGAUCCAGAAAUUGAAAGGACUUUAUUGAGAAGAAGAAGGGAGAAUCAGACACGGCUUCAAGUUGCUGAAACUUUGCAAGAUCAAGAAGAAGGAAAGAUGCCUGAUCCAGUACCUUUGCUCAGGGACUUGUGGAUCCCAAGAGAUCAUGGGAUACCAGGAGAAAUGGUGCAACCAAUUAUUCAGGAGAACAAUUCUGAAUUGAAGCCUGCUCUGAUUAACAUGGUACAACAGUCUAGAUUUGGUGGAACAGCUUUAGAAGACCCACAUGAGCAUAUAAGGACUUUCUUGGAGUAUUGUAACACCCUCAAGCAAAAUGGAGUUUCACCGAGUGCUAUCAGAUUAUCAAUAUUCCCAUUUUCCUUGAGAGAUGGAGCAAGAGUAUGGCUUCACUCGUUGCCUGAAUAUCUGAAGGAUACUUGGGAGACUUUAUUGCAGACAUUUCUUGAGAGAUACUUUCCACCAACAAAAGCUGCUGAAUACAGGGACAAGUUAACAAGGUUUACUUAAUAUGAUGGAGAAAGUUUGUAUGACGCAUGGCAAAGAUUCAACUCUUUAAUUAGAAUGUGUCCUCAUCAUGGUUUAGAAAGAUGGCUGGUGUUACAAACCUUUUACAAAGGACUGUCCACUCAAACCAGAGCUUUUGUCGAUUCUGCUGCUGGAGGAGGAAUCAUGAACAAAACCCUUGAUGAAGCAUUUGCAUUUGCAUUGAUUGAAAGUUUGGCGUCUCAUCAUUUCCAAUGGUCAAGUGAAAGAGCAAUAGCAUCACCUCAUGCUGGUUUGUAUAAUGUCUCUGCAAAUGAUAGCAUGGUGGCUCAGAUUGACAUCUUGAACAAGAAGAUGGAUAGUAUCAUGUCAAAUUGCAUUGGUACAUCUGUAGCUUCAGUAAGUGUGCCUCAAAUGUGUGAUGUAUGUGGCCAAGCAGGUCAUCCUUCAACAGAAUGUACCUUCUAUUCAGCAAUCAGAUCAUCGGUUUCAGAAGUAAGUUAUGCCCAAAGUCAAGGUCCAUUCUCAAACAACUACAAUCCUUCUUGGAGGAACCAUCCAAACUUUUCGUACAAGAACAAUCAGUCAUAUGCAUGUGGAUCGACAGUACAAGGAAAUCGACCACCAAAUCAUCCAAGUCAAUUUCAAGUGCCGAGGCAGAAUGAACAACAAAAUGUUCAGUCAGAUGGAAUGGAGGAAAUCAUGAAGAUGCAGUUGGAAUUGAUGAACAAGAUGACAAAUGAAGUUAAUGGCUUAAAGGAUUCUGUUAAGAUGCUUGUGAGCAAAAUGGAUAGUAUGGUGGGAGAAAAUGAAGCAAGGCUUCAUGCUCAACCAACUCCAAACCCGAAAGCUCACUGUGGGGCAAUAUCUUCAGUUGAUGCAGUGACUACAAGGAGUGGAGUUAUGACAUGACCAUUACUUCCUAUUCCGAAGACAUAUGUUCCUCCUGCUAUGAGGCCAAGUUCAUCCGGAACUCCAUCUUCAACAUCAUCAGAGAAAAUAAAGGAGAAAGAAGUUGAUUACUGAAUUGAAACUGAAGUCGAAUUUCCUGGUUUUCAAACAAGAGCUGAGCCUUUGCUAGAGGAAGCAAUAACAACCAAUAACAUUCCCUUUCCUGAGAGGUUCAACAAACCCAAAGAUGACAAGCAAUUUGCCAAAUUUUUGGAAACUAUGAAAGGAGUUCAGAUUACUAUUCCUAUUCUUGAAGCUGUGUUGCAUGUUCUGAUGUAUGCCAAAUAUUUCAAGGAAUUAUUAACAAAGAAAAGAAGCAUGUCUGAGCCAGAAGUUGUAACUCUAUCAAAGGAAUGCAGUGCAAUAAUUCAGAAUUCCAUGCCUCAAAAAUUGGAUGAUCCAGGAAGUUUUUGUGUACCAUGUGUGAUUGGAAACAAAACUUAAAGUGCUCUGUGUGACUUGGGCUCAAGUGUUAGUGUGUUACCACAUUCAGUUAGCAAAAGGAUGUUCUUGGGAGAAUUAAAUACAACAUCCAUAACUCUUCAGUUAGCCGACAUAAUUUAUUGGAGACCUGUUGGAAUUCUUGAGGAUGUUCCGAUCAAAGUUGGGAAGUUUGCUUAUCCGGUUGACUUUGUAGUGCUAGAUAUGGAGGACAAGAGUGAGGCUGUGAUUCUUGGAAGACCAUUUUUGGCCACAGCUGGUGCACUUAUUGAUGUCCAAGAAGCUAAAUUGAGCUUGAGGUUUGGAAAGGAAAAGGUGGAGUUUGACAUGAAGCAUGCAACACAUGUUCCGCAAAGAGAAAAACACUGCUAUAGAAUUGAUACAUUACAUAAAUGUGUGGAAGAAGGUUAUGAAGAGAGGUAUGGAAGUAAUUGUUGUGAAGUAGUUGAGGAGGACAAUAGUGAAAUUAGAUAUGAGGAAAUCAGACCUGUGAGCAUGUUGGAAAGUAGUGCAAGACCAUUAGAGAAGAUGCAACCAAGGCAAAUAGAAAUGGAACUACUUCCAGAAAGUUUGAAGUAUGCAUUCUUAGACAAUGAAAACCAGUGGCCAAUUAUCGUAAACAGCGAGUUGAUGGAAAUGCAAAUGAAAGGGCUUCAAGCUAUUUUGCAAAAGUACAAGGAUGUUAUUGGAUAUUCGAUUGAUGACAUGAAAGGGAUAAAUCCUGUUGUCUGCUCUCAUAGGAUUUACUUGAAAGAAAGCAGUGUGCCAAUUAGAGAAAGUCAAAGAAGGUUAAAUCCCAAUUUACAAGAGGUUGUCAAAAAGGAGAUUCUUAAAUUGCUCUCUGCUGAUAUCAUAUGCCCAAUUUCGGACAGCGAGUGGGUGAGCCCUAUUCACAUGGUGCCCAAAAAAGGAGGAAUAACUGUCAUCGAAAACGAACAAGGGCAAACGAUUCCUAGUAGGACUGUCACAAGGUGGAGAAUGGUCAAUGAUUUCAGAAAGUUAAAUGAAGUAACAAGGAAGACCAUUUUCCUUUACAUUUUAUUGACCAAAUGCUGGAAAGGCUUGCUGGGCAUGAAUAUUUCUGCUGCUUAGCUGGAUAUUCAGGAUUCUUGCAAAUCCCAAUUCACCCAGAUGAUCAAGAUAAAACAACUUUCACUUGCCCAUACGGAACAUUUGCUUACAAAAGACUAGCUUAUGGACUUUGUAAUGCACCCCCAACUUUUCAAAGGUUUAUACUCUCUAUAUUCUCUGAUACGAUAGGAAUCAAAGUGGAGGUGUUCAUAGAUGAUAUUACAGUCGUUGGAAAAAGUUAUGAAGAUUGCUUGAAUAAUCUGGCAGCAGUUCUUCAGAGGUGUUCAGAACACAAUCUAGUCCUAAACUGGGAGAAGUGUCAGUUUCUUGUAAGAGAAGGAAUUAUUUUGGGACAUUUGGUAUCUAAAAGAGGAAUUGAGGUUGAUCAAGCAAAAGUUGAAGUAAUAUCAAAACUUCCACCACUUGUAAAUGUGAAGGGAGUGAGGAGCUUUUUGGGACAUGCUGGGUUCUAUAGACGAUUCAUAAAGGAUUUAUCCAAGAUAGCCAAACCCCUCACUAAUAUCCUAAACAAUGAUGUUAAGUUCAACUUUGAUGCAGAAUGUGAAAAAUCCUUCAACUUGCUCAAGGAAGCAUUGGUCACUGCUCCAGUAGUCCAACCCCCUGACUGGGAAUUACCAUUUGAGAUAAUGUGUGAUGCAAGCGACUUUGCUGUAGGUGCAGUACUUGGACAAAGAAAAGGAAAAGAUUUGCAUGUAAUAUACUAUGCUAGCAAAACACUUGAUGAUGCUCAAGCUAAUUACACAACCACCUAAAAGGAGUUGUUGGCAGUAGUGUAUGCCUUUGAAAAAUUCAGGCCAUAUCUUGUGGGAUCUCAUUGUGUAGUUUACACAGACCACGCUGCAAUAAGAUAAUUACUCAGCAAGAAAGAAGCCAAGCCAAGGUUAAUUAGAUGGAUACUCUUGCUUCAAGAAUUUGAUGUGGAAAUCAAGGACAAGAAAGGAGCUGAAAAUGUUGUGGCAAGAUCACUUGUCGAGAUUGCAAAACAAUGCAGUAGACUCCUUACCUAUCAAUGAUGUUUCACCAGGGAGCAAUCUUAUGCAAGUUACUAGUAUACAAAACUAUACACCAUGGUACGCAGAUAUAGUUAAUUACCUGGUCUGUAACAAAGUUCCUAUAGAUUUUGGGUAUCAAAAGAAGAAGAAAUUCCUAUCAGAUAUGAAGCACUUCUUUUGGGAUGAACGUUACUUAUUCAAGCAUUGUGCUGAUGGUAUUGUUUGAAGAUGCUUGCCAGAAAGUGAAACUAAAAGUGUGAUCUAUCAUUGCCAUUCAUCCCCUUAAGGAGGUCAUGCAAGUACUCGAAAGACUCAAGCAAAAAAUUUGCAAGCAAGAUUUUAUUGGCCAACUUUAUUCAAGGAUGUACAUUCCUAUAUUGAACCUUGUGAUCCUUGUCAGAGAACUGGAAAGAUUUCAACAAGGCAAGAGAUGCCUCAAAAAGGAAUUCUUGAAGUAGAGCUCUUUGAUGUAUGGGGAAUUGAUUAUGUUGGACCCUUGCCAUCAUCAAAAGGGUACAAAUACAUAUUGGUGGCAGUGGACUAUGUGUCAAAAUGGGUUGAGGCUGUGCCAACCGUCAAUGCUGAUUCCAAGUCAGUUUGCAAUUUAUUCAAGCAAGUGAUCUUUCCAAGAUUUGGUGUGCCACAGAUUGUUAUCAGUGAUGGAUGAACGCAUUUCAACAACUCCCAACUAGAAUCUCUCUUAGCAAAAUAUGGAGUUCAUAAUCACAGAAUUACAACUCCAUAUCACCCACAAGCAAACGGACAAGUGGAGCUGUCUAAUAGAGAAAUAAAGGCUAUCCUCGAGAAGGUAGUAUCAAAGUCAAGGUCUGACUGGGUACUGAAAUUACCAGACACACUGUGGGCAUAUAGGACAGCUUAUAAAACACCAAUUGGAAUGUCACCAUUCAGGUUAAUAUAUGGAAAAGCAUGCCAUCUACCCAUUGAACUUGAACACAAAGCUCAGUGGGCACUAAGGAAACUCAAUAUCGACCUUGAUACAGCAGGAAAACAUACAAAACUUCAACUCUGUGAAAUGGAAGAACUGAGAGCUGACUCUUACGAGAGUGCAAGAAUCUACAAAGAAAGACCAAGCUCUGGCAUGACAAGCAUAUAUUGAGGAAAGAAUUUCAUCUUGGACAGUUGGUAUUGGUCUACGAUACUAGGUUUCAUUUCUUUCCCGGUAAAUUCAAGUCAAGAUGGUAUGGCCCUUGCAAGGUGAAGAAGAUUAUGAAAAGUGGUGCUAUCCAAGUGCAAAGUACUUCUGGAGGUCUCUUCCUUGUAAAUGGUCAAAGACUGAAGCCUUACAUCCCUGGAGACACACCUCUGAUUUCUGAAGAUGAGAAUGCAAGCGAAGAUCAAGACCUGGAGAAGGAAAUUCAAGAAGGCGAGGGGAGCCAAGAGGUGGUGUCAAUCCCUGCAUGACCCUGACCCCACUGAAGAGACAUGGUCGAGCUAAAGACCUAAAACAAGCACCUUUCAGGAGGCAACCUGAAUCUUUAAUAAGUUCUUUUCCUUAUUUAGUUUUCAUAGAAAAGUUUUUAUGUGUUUAUGUCUUUCUUUUUCAGUGAAUAAAGGCAAGGCGAGCACAAACAGGGAACGCAAACAGAGAAGAGUGGAGAGAAGAAACUAGGGGAGAAUAUUAUACAAAUACCAGGUGAUUCUGUUCCACUUGAAGCAACCUUUAGAAAAUUCAGUAUGAGGACUGGCGUUUAAUUGCAUUGAAAAUCUUUCUUUUUCUGUAUUGUGACACGUUACUCAUCACUGCAAAGUAGGAUUCACCCCAAGAAGAUUGUUGAUUCUCUUAAUACUAAAACUAUGCAGUUGUAUUCUUCUUAUGGUAAAUUGUGAUAAUGAAUACUUUAUACCUCCGUGUAAAUGUUCAAUGGGAAUGCCUUGAGUCUAAGUGAAACCUACUGAUGAAUUGAUGUGUUGUGUGUGACUGUCCCAAGUUAAGCUAAGUAACUCGUGGCACUUAAGUAGUAACUAUGAUCUCUGGAUCUGUAGUCUGUGAAAAACAGUGCCAUUAGCUAUGGAUUUCUCUUUCAAUUACUCCUGUUUUACUUAAGCUAAGUAAUUUUCAAAUAAAUAUAUAAUAUGUUUAUAAUAAUUUAAGUCCGAUCGACCUACAGUAGCAUGUCAUGUUCCCUGGAUUGGUGGCUUGUGAAAUCUGGUAGAUUGGACUGUAAAAUUUCAUAUAAAUGCUAUAAUUGUCGAACCAGGUGUAUACCAUGUUCUCUGGAUCGGUGGUAUGUUCCUUUGGGGGAGACAAUAACUAAAAAAUGCUAUAAUUGUCGAACCAGGUGUAAACCAUGUUCUCUGGAUCGGUGGUAUGUUCCUUUGGGGAGACAAUAACAAAAAAAUUCUAAUAAUUGGUCAAGCCAGGUGUAUACCAUGUUCUCGGGAUCGGUGGUAUGUUCCUUUGGUGAGACUGAUAUAAUAUCAUUACUUGUGCUUUAAAUUCAAUAAGUAACUUGUUUUUUUAAUUGAUUUUGGGUCCCAGCUUAUCUUAGGGCUGAAGACACAGCCAGCUCUUGAUUAAUAGGAUUCACUUUCACUCAAGGCCAUUGACUUGGAACAUUUACAGUGUGUUAUAAAUUAUUGCUUAUCGCAAUUUAGCUUCAGUAGAGUACAUUUGCCUAGUUCUAGUAUUGUCGGAAUUACUAUCUAUCCGAAAGUGCAUCUUUACGAGGCAGUGUGGGUAGUGUCACUAUCAUUUUCCUUUACUUGAGGACAAGCAAAGAUCUGGGUGUGGGGGAGAUUGAUAGAACUUUCAUUCAUAUAGUAUUUCAAGCCUUUUUGCAUAACAAAUCAAACCUAUGACCAUAGUUUUUUACUUAUAAAGUAUUCAUUCUUAUAGAAAUAUUCCUAUUAUGAUAUUUUUACAAGACUUACUCAUAUCUUGCAGGACUGGUGCGUUUAGGCACCCAAACUUCAUCGAAAGUGUUUACAACCUUCAAGCUAGGGAUCAUCUUGUGCGAAAAGAUAGAACUAGAAGGGGCGAGCUGAAAAGAACCAGGGACUUGCGCACCUAGUCAGGCAGAGAAGAGGAGAUGUCUUCUUGUUGGUGUGAGAAGGGACUGGUCUGGCGCGACCAACCAGACGCAUGUCUGAUACCACGCGCGAGGCCACGAGAGAGUAGAGGAGUAGAGGGGGUCGAAGGAAAGAAAACCACCAGGGCCGACUGCCUUUUUCUCUCCUCCUCCUCGCUUCCUUCCACGGGCUCACCUACCACCAGAUCUACAGCAACACAGAAAACAGGGGAUCAAGGGGAACGAGAGCGAGAACCAGCUCGAGGGUUUCGGGAGGCUUGCGGUGUGGCUGAUCCACCGCAAGGCCUCUCCUUCCUGACCUUCAACCUCUGCUGCUUCUCUUCAAAACCAACGCUCGCGCUGCUCUACUCCAACUCCGAUGACCGCCUCUGCGGCAUCUCCUCGACACAAACAGCGGGACGCCGGACUCCUGGUGGUGCUCUGCUCCAGGUGGUCGGCUGACCUCCCGCGAAGCCCUCCAUGAUUCCUUCCCAAGGCCGGGUCCUCCGCUGCUCAUCUUGACCAAGACUUCUUCACCACGCUGCAACUCUACCCCAUAGGCUCUGAACCUCUCUCUUCUCUUGUUCCUAUUCUCUGAACAUAUGCACUGUUGGGUCUGAAAUUUACUCUGUUACCUGUGCACCUUUGCUGAACCCUCAUGUAUCCUUGCUGAAUUGUUGUGACCCUUUGCUGGAUAUUAAGUUAGUAGUUAUUCUCCUGUGAGCUGCUGUAACUUUAAUUGGUUGCAUGAGUUGUGUGUGAUGUCUGAACCAUCUUCCAUGUGCUAGUGUUACUUGUUUGUUUGAUUACAAGAAAACCACACAAAAAAGACAGUCCUAUUUCUAAACCCUUUACCUUUGCUGCAUAUUAUUU